UAAAUUUUUUAAAAUCUACCCAAUUAUUAUAAUUGAGUGGUGGAAAUUGCUUGUACUUGGAUGGCAUUGAUAAUUUGCUAUUAUUGAGGGGUGGACCUAUAUUUUUCAACUUACAAUGCUCUAACUUAGAAAACAGAUAGAAGUAUGCUGAUUUAUUCCAUCCAUUAAAUAGAUAUUUUGUAAUAACAAGAAUAACAAUUUGGGCGAGAGCUUGAUUUGCUUUCAUGGAAUAUGCUCAACUCAACAAUUAUGCAGGCCCAAGGUGUGUUCAUUUGUAUCAAAGAUUAUGUUAUUUUCGAUACGUUGUCAUCACGGGUGAACCUAUUGGACACAAAGGGGUUUUUGAUCAUCCUAGAAUUUGAACACAAGACCUCCGGAAAUUUCACCCUGUUUGGGGUGUGCUCUAACCAAAUCGGCAGAAAGUACCAUUUCAUCAGACAUAGGGUAGAUGAAGGUCACCUAGUAGCUAAGAGGGUACCAUCUACAAAGAAUCCUGCAGAUCCACUCACAAAGGGUCUGAGUAGGGUUAAACAUGUUUAGCAUGCUAGGAGCAUUGGUCUGAGAGAUGAUAUUAGUUUUAGUAGUUAGAUAGUUAGUUUAAAACUUGCAACAAAGUAAAUGUAAUUGACUUUUGGUGAUUAAAUAAUAGAGAAUUAUUUAUGAGUUUGUUUA
This is a non-coding RNA of Lactuca sativa (garden lettuce), 672 nucleotides long. Lineage: Eukaryota; Viridiplantae; Streptophyta; Magnoliopsida; Asterales; Asteraceae. The record is from RefSeq and is a predicted model, not a curated record.